This 2921-nucleotide long non-coding RNA is filed under the name Homo sapiens (human). RNAcentral's name for it is "HSALNT0302271". The record is from RNAcentral. Lineage: Eukaryota; Metazoa; Chordata; Mammalia; Primates; Hominidae.
GGAGGCCUGGGGAACAAUGAGUAAGGCAGAGAGGGAACAGAGGCUUGUAGGCCACUGUGCGGACUUUGGCGUUUAGUCUGAGCUGGGGACCCACUGGAGGAUUCUGAGCAGAGCAGUGACAUGAUUGCGCUUACAUUUUUAAGACUUACUCUGGCUGCUGUGUUGAGAACAGAUGACCAUGGGGCAUAGACAGAAGCAGAAAGGUGAGUUGGAAGCUAUUCCAGUAAAGCAGGCCAGAGAUGGAGGAGGUCUGAACCAGGUGAUAGAGGGAAGAGUUAGAAAAAAGUGUCUGGAUUCUGGAUAUGUUCUGAAGGUAUGUUGUGCCGAAGGCUAGAUGUGUGGUAUGGGAGAAAGAGCAAGGUCAAGUACGACUUCAGGGCUUUUUUUUUUUUUUGAGACAGUUUCACUCUUGUUGCCCAGGCUGGAGUACUAUGGUUCGAUCUUGGCUCAUCACAACCUCUGCCUUCUGGGUUCAAGCGGUUCUGCCUCAGAUUCCUGACUAGCUGGGAUUACAGGCAUGUGCCACCACACCCAGCUAAUUUUGUAUUAGUAGAGAUGGGGUUUCUCCAUGUUGGUCAGGGUGGUCUCCAACUCCCAACCUCAGGUAAUUCUGCCCGCCUCGGGCUCCCAAAGUGCUGGGAUUACAGGUGUGAGCCACUGCACCCAGCUGAGGGCUUCUGACCUGAGUAACUGGGAGGACAGGCUUGGAGGGUAAAAGAAGAAUCAUAUCUUAGACAUGUUAAUUUUGAGAUACUCAGCCAUGUAGAUGGACUUGUUGAGUAAACAGCUGGAUAACCAAAUUGAGAAUUUAGGAAAGAGGUCCAGGCUGGAGAUGGAAAUCCAGGAAUCUUUGGUUGUAGACUGUGCAAGCUACAAGACUGACAGAAGCUCAUUUAGGCCUAGGGAGUGUAGCUAUAGAAGAAGACAUCCACAAAGCUGAGUGCUCAUCACUGGGGCCCUCCAACCAGGGACCAAGGAGGUAAAGAGAUGGAGCAGAGUCCAAUGAGAGGGGAGAAAAACCAAGAGAGUCCAACUGAAGAAAGUUUCAGGAAGGACGCAACUGUGCCAAAUGCUGAUGAGUCUAGAAAUGAGAUCAUACUGUUUUGCAACUACUUUUUUCCCUUUAGCUACAUAAUAAAUAUGAAAUCUUAACAGAUAGUAUGAAGUUUUAAUAGAUGCAGGGAAUUUUUGCCAUUAUAAACAAUUCAGCAUCUUUGUAGCUCUAAGUACGUCCCUAAUAAUUUACUUUUAUUAUUAAAUAUUAUAAAUGGACAAAUUAUAAUUUUAUAUAAGGUACAAAGCAAUAUUUUCUCUCUAUAUAUACAUAUACACACACACACACGAGUGAAAUGAUUAAAUCAACAUAAUUAACAUCUAUCACCUUAAAUACUUAUCAUUUUGUGUGGUGAGAACAUUUAAAAUUUACUCUUUUAGCAAUUUGGAAAUACGCAGUCCACCAUUAUUUAUUUAUUCAUUUAUUUUGAGACAGGGUCUCACUCUGUCAUCCAGGCUGGAGUGCAAUGGCACUAUCUCGGCUCACUGCAACCUCCACCUCCUGGGCUCAAGUGAUCCUCCUUCCUCAGCCCCCCAAGUAGCUGGGACUACAGGUUGGCUGGAGGAAACGGAGAGAAAAUUUACAUCUGGUGGAGCAUAAAGAAACCAGCUAGAGGACUGGCCUUGUCAUUAUCUAACUGUGUUGUGACGAACUGGCACUUCCUCAUCUCUAAAAGCAGGGCCCUGAACUAGAAGACCGCCACGUCACAUGAUGAAAAACACUCAAACUAACACUUCUUACCCUUGUGAGCAGCCCUACUAGCAGAUUUAAUGUGGGAGGAGGUUCACACUACGGGAUAAAAAUCAAGUUUUAGGAUUCCAUUUUAUCUAAGCUGACCACCACAAGGCAGAGGAUCAAGACUUAGCUAAAUACAGCCCUCAGGCAAGCUUCACUUCCCCAUCUGUGAAGGGAGAAUAAAUACACAUGUUAAGAUAAAUGAGAGAGCUGGUCAAGUGUUUCGAGCUCUUUGGCAGACAAGCCUGACUUUCCAAAAAAAGACAAACCACAACUUCGGAGCCAGUGCUAUUUCUUCUGUGCAUGGUGAGGUGACUUCCCCAGUUGUAAAGGAUUUAGAGCUGAAAUUCCAUAUUGUCUGGAGCUAUAAUUACAAGUCUCUUGCACUAAAACAGAGGUCAGCUGGCCUAAAGCAUGCUGAAAGAAGGUAAAUGUCUGGUCACAUUUCCAUGUGGUAUACUCCUUUCCUAACUUUUUGGCACAAAUUUCAUGUUGAUAGAACAUUCAUUCACUCCACAAAUAUCUGGCAAGUAGGUGCUGAGUGCUGUGUAUAGACGAGUGAACACAACACAGACCCUGCCCUCAUUCUGUGUAGAGGACAGCAGAGGAGUAGGCACAGGGCUCUCAGCUAGGGCAGUACCACCCUAUGUCUGGGGGGCAUUUCGGACAUUUGGGAGGUGCUGUCAAUUGCCAAAAUGAAUGGGGAAACUCUGCUAGCAUUUAAGGGUGGGAGCCGUGGUGCCACAAUGACCUGUAUGAGGAAAACCAGCUCCAGGCCCGCAUGACUAGUGAGUGUACUGCUAGACAUUCAUAAACAUGAAAAACUCUUUUGUGGGAAAACAGCCUGUUGCAUAGCAAGAGUGAUCCAUCUUGAAGUAAAACUGCCAUGAUGACCAAUGUUUGACGCCUACAAUUCAAGGUGGUCCAGUAGCACAGAUAAGCCCUCACAACCUCCCCGUGGUCAUGAGUUUCUAAAGGAAGUCAGGGAUGAUGAGCUUCCUGUGUCUUUACCCUAAAAGCUUGCUAUAUAAAGGAUACUUUCUGGAGGUUGGUUGUGAGAAUCCACCAUCUCUUGGCCUACCUAGACAUCGUUUCUGUUUCUAAGUCUCUAUUAAAUAUUUCUUUCUGAGAA